This 29-nucleotide non-coding RNA is filed under the name Homo sapiens (human). The record is from RNAcentral. Lineage: Eukaryota; Metazoa; Chordata; Mammalia; Primates; Hominidae.
UGGUGGCGUGUGCCUGUGGUCCCGGCUGC